This is an RNA transcript of Triticum aestivum (bread wheat), 1885 nucleotides long. RefSeq lists it as uncharacterized. Lineage: Eukaryota; Viridiplantae; Streptophyta; Magnoliopsida; Poales; Poaceae. The transcript has 3 exons. The record is from RefSeq and is a predicted model, not a curated record.
UAGUUUUAUUAGUCACAGAUUUUUGCUAGCAUGAGCGGCGGGUUCGGCGGCCGCGGUUGGCUGGCGCUGCCGUGCUGUCUAGUGAGCUCCUCUGACCGGCGCCAUGGGAGCAGCUGCGCCGGUGGCUCUCGUGCACAGCGCGUGCAUCUGUAACCUUCUAAAGUCCUCCUUCGCGAACUGCAUCGCAUCGCCGGCCGGAGCGCCGGCCAUCUGGCCGUUCCCCUUUGCGGUGUGGUACGCCGUCUCCGCCGCAGCUGCAAUCUCCUCCGGCGCCAGAGCUGUUAAGCGGCGUUUCCUCAUCCAGCAGCAGCGACGACGGCUCCUAUCCAUCUACCAAAGAAAGGAGCAUUAUCUUAUCCAGCGCCAGCAUUUGUACGAACAGGUGCUUAUCGUCCCAUUCCUUACCAUUUCCUCAAUCUAUUAAAUAAAUUUGAGUAGCGUAUGUCUGCAUCCUGCUGUGCAGUGUACUUCAGAGACGAUGGUGGAGGAGCCAUCAAGGAGAUUGCUGGGCAGAUGCAGCUACGAAAUUACUUGUUUCAGUAUUUUGUUUAGCGAUUACAUUGUCCAAUUUUCUAUUAUUUGUGAGACCGGAUAUGAAUUGCUAGGCUAUCUAAGAAAUACAUGUUAUAGUAAUUGAGAAAAUGAUCUUUGUUCCUUAAUGGUUCUGUAACUUUAGAACCACCUCCCUGAUGCAUAUACAUAUAUAACUGAUAUUGAUUUUGUGAAAUCAGUUGUGAGCCCUUACCCCCAAUAUUUUUGUUUGCCUGUAAAUGCAGAGAGAAGUACCUUGCGACAAAUAAAAUAUUUCAGAGACAACUAUUGAAAACCAUUUAAAAAAGAUAAGGCUGCUAUGUCUUCAACACAUUAUAUUUAGUCAUAUAAGAAUGGUUGUACCUGUUCUAAUUCUAGUUAUUAAAAAACAAAUAUAUAUAAUAUAUCCUUGAAAACAAUGUUUUUUGCAAUCUUGUCGGAUCGACGCUCUUCAUCUGAUAUGAGUAUCCGCAAUCCUUUCUGCUGGUAACCCUUGACAUUGCAACAUAGAGCUGUGUGAACACUUGCCUUUCUAAGUAGAGUCCAACCUUUUUGAGAGAUUGCCCCUGACUUUUGUUUAUAGUCAUAGCAAAGCACACUGAUAUUGGGUAUUGUCUCCUUUUCAGAAUGAAAGGCCAUUCUGAAUCACUUGGUGACAUAUAACCGCUUGUUGGUUGUGCAUACUAAAUCCUGCCUAUGGUUUUUUUCCCACCACAUCUUUUCCUCCAUUCUUUCUAUUUUGUAUGCCAAAUCUAUUUGGUUGGAAACUGUGCAUACGUCAAACUGCGAGCUUCGUCAUGCAAUUGGUUGACUGUCAUCCUUCCGUGAACAUUGUCUUUUCUAUGUUAGGGUGAGAUACAAUUUUAUCUAAAUCCACCGAGUCCGGGAAUACCAUAACAUGUUCAUUCUCUAGGUGAAAUUGUAACCUUUCAACCGCAGGCUCUCUAUACUGAAGAGGAAACUGAAAUAUGUGCCAUGAGGCUUCACAUCAGGAUAUGUACCAAGCAUCAAGACAUCAUCCCAAGCACACUAUACGAAGUACGGACAGGACACACGAUGUGAUCGGCUCUCCGGCGCCGGCGCAGCACGUGAACUCAAACCGAGUUUGGGGUGUGAAUCUUGCAUGCUGCCAAUCCAUUAUAGUUCCUGGAAUCUGCCGUGACCUAGGUCCGUUGCUGGCUGCUUGCCUGGAUAUGUGCCUCCCAGCCUGCAGUCAACGAUGUCAUGUCUAAAAGAUGGCACACGUAGAUGGAAAGAAAGAUGAACACUGGCGCUAGGGCUCAGCUCAAAAAAACGCCAAUGGGAAAGAAGAGUUUGGUAGUAUAACAGGAGAAUAAAGGCUACAUGUUACUUU